UACGUAGGGGGCUAGCGUUGUCCGGAAUCAUUGGGCGUAAAGCGCGCGUAGGCGGCCAACUAAGUCGGACGUGAAAUCCCCAGGCUCAACCUGGGAACUGCGUCCGAUACUGGAUGGCUUGAAUCCGGGAGAGGGAUGCAGAAUUCCAGGUGUAGCGGUGAAAUGCGUAGAUAUCUGGAGGAAUACCGGUGGCGAAGGCGGCAUCCUGGACCGGCAUUGACGCUGAGGAGCGAAAGCCAGGGGAGCAAACGGG
Molecule: ribosomal RNA, 253 nt
Filed under: uncultured bacterium
Lineage: Bacteria
Description: partial 16S ribosomal RNA
Rfam family: Bacterial small subunit ribosomal RNA
Source: RNAcentral